Molecule: ribosomal RNA, 635 nt
Filed under: uncultured fungus
Lineage: Eukaryota; Fungi
Description: eukaryotic LSU rRNA
Rfam family: 5.8S ribosomal RNA (bases 260-413)
Source: RNAcentral
CUUGGUCAUUUAGAGGAAGUAAAAGUCGUAACAAGGUUUCCGUAGGUGAACCUGCGGAAGGAUCAUUAACGGGUUUUGAAAUGGGUUGUUGCUGGCCUUCCGAGGCAUGUGCACGCCCUGCUCAUCCACUCUACACCUGUGCACUUACUGUAGGUUGGCGUGGGUUUCUAGCCUCCGGGUUGGAAGCAUUCUGCCGGCCUAUGUACACUACAAACUCUUAAAGUAUCAGAAUGUAAACGCGUCUAACGCAUCUUAAUACAACUUUCAGCAACGGAUCUCUUGGCUCUCGCAUCGAUGAAGAACGCAGCGAAAUGCGAUAAGUAAUGUGAAUUGCAGAAUUCAGUGAAUCAUCGAAUCUUUGAACGCACAUUGCGCCCAUUAGUAUUCUAGUGGGCAUGCCCAUUCGAGCGUCAUUUCAACCCUUAAGCCAGUGCUGCUUAGUGUUGGGAGCAUACCCUCCCCGGGGGGUAUCUCCUUAAAGUUAGUGGCGGAGUUAGGGCACACUCUCAGCGUAGUAAUUUCUCUCGCUCGGGUAGUGGCCCUGGCUGCUUGCCGUUAAGCCCCUAUAUUCUUCCAGUGGUUGACCUCGGAUUAGGUAGGAAUACCCGCUGAACUUAAGCAUAUCAAUAAGCGGA